RNAcentral lists this ribosomal RNA (253 nucleotides) under uncultured bacterium. RNAcentral describes it as "partial 16S ribosomal RNA". It matches the Rfam family "Bacterial small subunit ribosomal RNA", at positions 524 to 776 of the family's 1533-position model. The record is from RNAcentral.
UACGAAGGGGGCUAGCGUUGUUCGGAUUUACUGGGCGUAAAGCGCACGUAGGCGGAUCGUUAAGUCAAGGGUGAAAUCCUGGAGCUCAACUCCAGAACUGCCUUCGAUACUGGCGAUCUAGAGUCCGGAAGAGGUGAGUGGAACUCCUAGUGUAGAGGUGGAAUUCGUAGAUAUUAGGAAGAACACCAGUGGCGAAGGCGACUCACUGGUCCGGUACUGACGCUGAGGUGCGAAAGCGUGGGGAGCAAACAGG